Penaeus vannamei (Pacific white shrimp) is the source of this 437-nucleotide non-coding RNA. NCBI's taxonomy places the organism in Eukaryota, Metazoa, Arthropoda, Malacostraca, Decapoda, Penaeidae. The record is from RefSeq and is a predicted model, not a curated record.
CGAGAAUUCGUUGGUGAGGGAAGGUGUACAUAUCAUACGCUCCGGUAUUGUGAAGGUUCAGUGAUGGUGUAGUCUGUGGUCUUGUUGUGUGAUGUAACUUAAGCAGAAUGGGUCUGAUGCCACUUGAAUUUAAGGACUGUCUUACUGACAGUCCUUACUUUCGCGAGAAACUACAUACCCAUGAGAAGGAGCUGGACCAAACCAACGCUUCCAUCAAGGCACUUAUCAAGGAAGUGAAGGAUUUGAUUCAGGCCGCACGAAGUCUCCGUUAGUAUAGGACUGACAGGUGGCGCCGGACGAAGCAAAUACAGCAUCAGAUGAUUCGGUAUAAUCAUGAUCUUAAAGUGUCACGCUCGUCUGUGCCUCUGUCAUGAAGUGGCAUGAUUUGUCCAGGUGACGCAGCGAGGCAUCUGGUGUGCCUCAAGUCAUGCUGGAAU